RNAcentral lists this ribosomal RNA (426 nucleotides) under uncultured bacterium. Its description in RNAcentral is "bacterial SSU rRNA". It matches the Rfam family "Bacterial small subunit ribosomal RNA", at positions 356 to 773 of the family's 1533-position model. The record is from RNAcentral.
GAGGAAUCUUGCGCAAUGGGGGAAACCCUGACGCAGCAACGCCGCGUGAGUGAGGAAGGUCUUCGGAUCGUAAAGCUCUGUCAGUUGGGAAGAAAUGGCUGGAGGUUAAUACCCUUUAGUCUUGACGGUACCAACAGAGGAAGCACCGGCUAACUCCGUGCCAGCAGCCGCGGUAAUACGGGGGGUGCAAGCGUUGUUCGGAAUUAUUGGGCGUAAAGAGCGUGUAGGCGGUCUGAUAUGUCAGAUGUGAAAGCCCUGUGCUUAACCCAGGAAGUGCAUUUGAAACUGUCAGGCUCGAGUAGGGGAGAGGGAAGUGGAAUUCCUGGUGUAGAGGUGAAAUUCGUAGAUAUCAGGAGGAACACCGGUGGCGAAGGCGACUUCCUGGCCCUAUACUGACGCUGAGACGCGAGAGCGUGGGUAGCAAAC